Tarenaya hassleriana is the source of this 455-nucleotide long non-coding RNA. RefSeq lists it as uncharacterized. Lineage: Eukaryota; Viridiplantae; Streptophyta; Magnoliopsida; Brassicales; Cleomaceae. The transcript has 2 exons. The record is from RefSeq and is a predicted model, not a curated record.
GUUUGGUAUGUCCGAACUCAAGCCUUGGUGUGUCCGAGGUCCACUAUCUACUCUUCCCCUUCGUUCCAUCCAUCUUCCUUUUCAGAAUUACGUCGAGCAUCGUUUGAUCCGUGACUGAUUCCAAGGACCACCCUUCCCCUUCGAACACCAUACCCGGUCGAAAGUCGAGAGCCUUCUCCGUGAAGCGCGUGAGACUACGAUUCGGCCUUGUUCCAUCCUCUCCGAGUCAAGGCGUGUAUCAUAAAGGACCCUGGUAAGCUGUUAUGGCUUCCUUGAGCGUCUCCCAUAGUUGCAGCGCCAUGGAUGAUGCCUGAUGGAGCUCCGGGCCAGACAGAGAGAAUUGGCCAAUGUGGUCACUGGUUUUAUUCACGGUUUUUUUUUUUUUUUUUUUUACGUUUGGCUUUAAAUUGAGAUUUGUAUGUACUUACCUGUACGUAUAUAUGUAUGUGUAUGUA